CAGAUAAAAGCCAAAUGGUUAGGCACUUUCUUUGGGAGAAAGACUACGUAGGUUCGAUUCCUGCUUAUCUGA
This 72-nucleotide transfer RNA is filed under the name Komagataea norvegica. RNAcentral describes it as "[Candida] norvegica tRNA-Pro". It matches the Rfam family "tRNA". From Rfam's summary of the family: Transfer RNA (tRNA) molecules are approximately 80 nucleotides in length. Their secondary structure includes four short double-helical elements and three loops (D, anti-codon, and T loops). Further hydrogen bonds mediate the characteristic L-shaped molecular structure. tRNAs have two regions of fundamental functional importance: the anti-codon, which is responsible for specific mRNA codon recognition, and the 3' end, to which the tRNAs corresponding amino acid is attached (by aminoacyl-tRNA synthetases). tRNAs cope with the degeneracy of the genetic code in two manners: having more than one tRNA (with a specific anti-codon) for a particular amino acid; and 'wobble' base-pairing, i.e. permitting non-standard base-pairing at the 3rd anti-codon position. The record is from RNAcentral. Lineage: Eukaryota; Fungi; Ascomycota; Saccharomycetes; Phaffomycetales; Wickerhamomycetaceae.